CUCAAAAAUCAAAAGAAAUCAGAAAAAGGGGGUACAUGAAAAAUUGCCACUUACCAUCAAACAAACACACAUUUUUGCUAAUACUGUUACAGAUUUCUAAAAAUAAUUGGCAAGGAAAUAUUUGCAGUUCCUAAGUACAUUACAGGAUUCUUAUAUUUAUUUAAUAAACAGUUUUAUUUUUUCCAUCGAAUCAUUUUGACUUUUUACUGGUG
RNAcentral lists this long non-coding RNA (212 nucleotides) under Mytilus galloprovincialis (Mediterranean mussel). The record is from RNAcentral. Lineage: Eukaryota; Metazoa; Mollusca; Bivalvia; Mytilida; Mytilidae.